CCCAGCAUAGUGUAGUGGUUUGAGUGUUGGACUAUAACUCUGGAGACCAGGAUUCAAGUCCCUGGGCAGUCA
This 72-nucleotide transfer RNA is filed under the name Phrynosoma platyrhinos (Desert horned lizard). RNAcentral describes it as "tRNA-OTHER". Lineage: Eukaryota; Metazoa; Chordata; Lepidosauria; Squamata; Phrynosomatidae. The record is from RNAcentral.